Molecule: ribosomal RNA, 430 nt
Filed under: Bacteroidota bacterium
Lineage: Bacteria; Pseudomonadati; Bacteroidota
Description: Bacteroidetes bacterium partial 16S ribosomal RNA
Rfam family: Bacterial small subunit ribosomal RNA
Source: RNAcentral
UAGGGAAUCUUCGGCAAUGGGGGGAACCCUGACCGAGCAACGCCGCGUGAGUGAAGAAGGUUUUCGGAUCGUAAAGCUCUGUUGUUAAGGAAGAACGAGUGUGAGAAUGGAAAGUUCAUGCUGUGACGGUACUUAACCAGAAAGGGACGGCUAACUACGUGCCAGCAGCCGCGGUAAUACGUAGGUCCCGAGCGUUGUCCGGAUUUAUUGGGCGUAAAGCGAGCGCAGGCGGUUAGAAAAGUCUGAAGUGAAAGGCAGUGGCUCAACCGGGGAGGGUCAUUGGAAACUGGUUGACUUGAGUGCAGAAGAGGAGAGUGGAAUUCCAUGUGUAGCGGUGAAAUGCGUAGAUAUAUGGAGGAACACCAGUGGCGAAGGCGACUCUCUGGUCUGUAACUGACGCGGAGGCUCGAAAGCGUGGGGAGCGAACAGG